UGUGGAGCCUUGUUUUUACAUUUACAGCAAAGGCAGAGUACAUUUACAUUAAAACUGACGAAAAACAUGUCUUUAGUUCUGAACUACGUUGUUGUUUGCUUGUUUCUGAAAUUGUCGGCUGUUUUUUUAUCCUAAUAUAAUCCUGCUAUUUCCUGUCUAACUGAAUGGCAUCUCAUGUCUGCAGGCAAAUGCAACUACAGUGAAAGAGACACUGGCUAAAUGGGUGAGUCUUAUCCAAAUUAACUUAAGAAACUAGGAUGAUAUACUGUAUGAUUCUGUGCCUUAGACCUGCUUCAGUGGCCAAUUAAAUCUAUUGAUUGUCUUGUUUUAGUUUAUUUGUGAGAAAGAGAAGUUCUGACCUGGUGUUUGUUGGAAAUCCUCUGGAGGAAAAGUACUCAGCUGAGGGAACCUGGAUGGAUGAAGCCUCGAAAAGACUCCCCAAUCUGAAAAAACUAGAUGGUAAAAAUGGGGCAGUAGCAUUUAUUAAGACGUUCUUAAUCCUAACCAAGAACUCAUAUAUGAGCAAAGCAAUAAUUUACUGGUCCUGGCUCUUGUGCAUGUUGAAGUACUUAAGUGUACUUAUUUUAACUCAUUUUUUAAGAUUAUUUACAGUUGACUAUUUUGAUAAGUCAGGUGUGGUCAUUUGAUGUUGGAUGAGCUGAGCAAAAAAAAUGAUUUGUUCAGAAAAUAGAAAACAGAAAAAGUUCAAACAAAGGGCUUUGGAGGGUAAUAAGAGAGCUAAAUCUAGCCCAUGAUCCCUGACAUAGAAAUGUCAUAAACUGAACCAAGUUAGAUGACUGAGUUUAAAAUUUGGUUUAAAUAUCAAUUGAAGA
Molecule: non-coding RNA, 833 nt
Organism: Xyrichtys novacula (pearly razorfish)
Lineage: Eukaryota; Metazoa; Chordata; Actinopteri; Labriformes; Labridae
Source: the annotation of a GenBank genome assembly